AUUCAAACUUGGUUCGUUGGUUGGAACUGUACUUAACGGUUUAGCACUGAUAAAUGUGUACUGUUGUUUUCCUCUUAAACUUUAAAGAAGAAUACAACAAUGAAUCCUAAGAAAAGUAAGAUGGCCAGAAGAACUGUGAGUGGGGAAAAGAAUCGGAGCACUGAAUGCUGGCAAAAGUUAAAAGCGCUGCAGCGGUUUUAUUUGCCUGAGCAUGAUGAUUUAUCACCUUUUUAAACUAUUACAGAAUUACACUGAAUGACACUGAAUGUGUUCAAAUGAGGGGUUUAUUAAGAGAAAUGAAUAGUUAAAAAAAGGAGAGACACAGCUAUGCAGGAAUAAGAACCAACUAAAAACCUUCAUGAUUUCUAAAAGAUCAUUAAAAAAGUAGAAAACCAUACAGUUAUAUACUUGUUAAACGGUUUGGUAUACUGCAACCUUGAAUACUAUAGGAGGGUAUUUAAGCAAGCCUUUUAAAACUAAAGUACACUACCCGUAAUAGCAAUAAACUAUGAGGAAUGAAAUAUAACAAAUCAGUGUCACUAGAAUUACUUUGGACACAUCAAACUUUUCAAAAGGCUUGAUUUACAGUUACUUUUGAUUGGACCUUAAUCCCAUGAAUCUUCUUGAAACUUGAUAAUCAUGAUCAACUUUCACAUAAAACCUAGUACGCAUACUUUCAAUCCAAACCCAGAAGAAAACAUGUCUGCCACCCCUCAAAAAUAUAAAAAAAGAACAGGAGGGAUUCAAGUGAACAGAAUAACCAAACCUCUGCUGUCUUUGGACACUACACAAAAUAUUUGGGUUACUCUAAGCAGACGAGUAAGAAUCAGUAAAAUUCAACUUCAGAAAACCUUCCAAACCGCAAAGAGCAAAGAGACGAGAUUUAAUUUUGUCACCAUGAUGUUUGGACGAAAUCAACAUCAGCUUAUAAUACUACCAUGUUGUAAAAUAAAUAUACAUUCUAAAUGUGAUUUUCUAAACCUUCCUUCAUUUUUCGAUAUAAUUUACAACCAUUUUAAACAUCAUCUCUAAUGAACGAAUCCAGGUUAGUAGUUAGACGUUAGAUUAUAAAUAGACCCUUUUGUAUCAGGAAAGCUUUAAAAUCAGAGAAUAUUUCUUACAUUUCUCAAUACAUGUGAUCUCUAUGUGUUUUUACUGAAAUCAAUGUUAUUAGAUUUACCAUCUACUAUAAUUUAGUGUAGUGGAGGUAGGUAAAAGUAAUUAUGUUUACUAAGAAGAGGUAUACAUAGAUAUACAGUAUGUGUUUGUUCAAUAUUUCAUAGUCAUACAAUAUUGAUACCCUUAACCUUUU
This is a long non-coding RNA of Macrosteles quadrilineatus (aster leafhopper), 1312 nucleotides long. RefSeq lists it as uncharacterized. Lineage: Eukaryota; Metazoa; Arthropoda; Insecta; Hemiptera; Cicadellidae. The record is from RefSeq and is a predicted model, not a curated record. The transcript has 3 exons.